CUACGGGGCGCAGCAGUGGGGAAUAUUGCACAAUGGGCGCAAGCCUGAUGCAGCCAUGCCGCGUGUGUGAAGAAGGCCUUCGGGUUGUAAAGCACUUUCAGCAGUGAGGAAGGUGGUGUAGUUAAUACCUGCACCAUUUGACGUUAGCUGCAGAAGAAGCACCGGCUAACUCCGUGCCAGCAGCCGCGGUAAUACGGAGGGUGCGAGCGUUAAUCGGAAUUACUGGGCGUAAAGCGCAUGCAGGCGGUCUGUUAAGCAAGAUGUGAAAGCCCCGGGCUUAACCUGGGAACUGCAUUUUGAACUGGCAGGCUAGAGUCUUGUAGAGGGGGGUAGAAUUUCAGGUGUAGCGGUGAAAUGCGUAGAGAUCUGAAGGAAUACCGGUGGCGAAGGCGGCCCCCUGGACAAAGACUGACGCUCAGAUGCGAAAGCGUGGGGAGCAAACAGGAUUAGAUACCCGCGUAGUC
This 464-nucleotide ribosomal RNA is filed under the name uncultured bacterium. RNAcentral's name for it is "partial 16S ribosomal RNA". It matches the Rfam family "Bacterial small subunit ribosomal RNA", at positions 339 to 795 of the family's 1533-position model. The record is from RNAcentral.